UGCGUAGGUGGCGCGCUAAGUCAGGUGUGAAAUUUCAGGGCUUAACUUUGAAACUGCAUUUGAUACUGGCGUGCUUGAGGACUGGAGAGGAGACUGGAAUUCAUGGUGUAGCAGUGAAAUGCGUAGAGAUCAUGAGGAAGACCAGUGGCGAAGGCGGGUCUCUGGACAGUUCCUGACACUGAGGCACGAAGGCCAGGGGAGCAAACG
Molecule: ribosomal RNA, 207 nt
Filed under: uncultured bacterium
Lineage: Bacteria
Description: partial 16S ribosomal RNA
Rfam family: Bacterial small subunit ribosomal RNA
Source: RNAcentral